AGAGUUUGAUCCGGGCUCAGGACGAACGCUGGCGGCGUGCCUAACACAUGCAAGUCGAACGGACGAGGCCCCUUCGGGGACCGAGUUAGUGGCGGACGGGUGAGUAACGCGUGAGCAACCUGCCUUUCAGAGGGGGACAACAGUUGGAAACGACUGCUAAUACCGCAUGAUGCAGCGAGAUCGCAUGGUCUUGCUGUCAAAGAUUUAUCGCUGAAAGAUGGGCUCGCGUCUGAUUAGCUAGUUGGAGGGGUAACGGCCCACCAAGGCGACGAUCAGUAGCCGGACUGAGAGGUUGAACGGCCACAUUGGGACUGAGAUACGGCCCAGACUCCUACGGGAGGCAGCAGUGGGGAAUAUUGGGCAAUGGGGGAAACCCUGACCCAGCAACGCCGCGUGAAGGAAGAAGGCUUUCGGGUUGUAAACUUCUUUUACCAGGGACGAAGAACGUGACGGUACCUGGAGAAAAAGCCACGGCUAACUACGUGCCAGCAGCCGCGGUAAUACGUAGGUGGCAAGCGUUGUCCGGAUUUACUGGGAGUAAAGGGCGUGUAGGCGGAGCUGCAAGUCAGAUGUGAAAUCUGGGGGCUUAACCCUCAAACUGCAUUUGAAACUGUAGCCCUUGAGUAUCGGAGAGGCAGGCGGAAUCCCUAGUGUAGCGGUGAAAUGCGUAGAUAUUAGGAAGAACACCAGUGGCGAAGGCGGCCUGCUGGACGACAACUGACGCUGAGGCGCGAAAGCGUGGGGAGCAAACAGGAUUAGAUACCCUGGUAGUCCACGCUGUAAACGAUGAAUACUAGGUGUGGGGGGACUGACCCCCUCCGUGCCGGAGUUAACACAAUAAGUAUUCCACCUGGGGAGUACGACCGCAAGGUUGAAACUCAAAGGAAUUGACGGGGGCCCGCACAAGCAGUGGAUUAUGUGGUUUAAUUCGACGCAACGCGAAGAACCUUACCGGGAUUUGACAUCCUACUAACGAAGCAGAGAUGCAUUAGGUGCCCUUCGGGGAAAGUAGAGACAGGUGGUGCAUGGUUGUCGUCAGCUCGUGUCGUGAGAUGUUGGGUUAAGUCCCGCAACGAGCGCAACCCCUAUUGUUAGUUGCUACGCAAGAGCACUCUAGCGAGACUGCCGUUGACAAAACGGAGGAAGGCGGGGACGACGUCAAAUCAUCAUGCCCCUUAUGUCCCGGGCUACACACGUAAUACAAUGGCGGUCAACAAAGGGAAGCAAAGCCGCGAGGCAGAGCAAACCCCCAAAAGCCGUCUCAGUUCGGAUUGCAGGCUGCAACUCGCCUGCAUGAAGCUGGAAUUGCUAGUAAUCGUGGAUCAGAAUGCCACGGUGAAUACGUUCCCGGGCCUUGUACACACCGCCCGUCACACCAUGAGAGUCGGGAACACCCGAAGUCCGUAGUCUAACCCGCAAGGGAGGGCGCGGCCGAAGGUGGGUCUGAUAAUUGGGGUGAAGUCGUAACAAGGUA
RNAcentral lists this ribosomal RNA (1474 nucleotides) under metagenome. Its description in RNAcentral is "bacterial SSU rRNA". It matches the Rfam family "Bacterial small subunit ribosomal RNA". The record is from RNAcentral.